Brassica napus (rape) is the source of this 1746-nucleotide long non-coding RNA. RefSeq lists it as uncharacterized. The record is from RefSeq and is a predicted model, not a curated record. NCBI's taxonomy places the organism in Eukaryota, Viridiplantae, Streptophyta, Magnoliopsida, Brassicales, Brassicaceae. The transcript is spliced from 3 exons.
AUUCUACAUAUACAUAUAUAAUACUGAAAGACAUACAUAUAUAUAUAUAUAUAUAUAACUAAUACUAAAAGGUAUAUAUGAGGAGUAGCCAGAUUGUCCACAUCAUCAUUUUAAAUCAGCCAAUAGGGUGUCUGAAAUUCGCCACGUCAGAUACUCGCCUACGAGGUGUUUUGAUUUUAGGGUUGAACCCGUCUUCCAUCUCCGCCAUUCGAUAGCGUUGUUUCAUCUCCUUCCCAACAAUCCCAAAAGCUCCCGUUACAGAUUCAUCGUUUUUUGCACCUGCGUUUGACGAUUCAAAAUCAGAAUCCUAUUUCAAUUCAUGGAUCUGAAAAUUAAUGAAGCUCUGGCGAUGGAAAUUUGUCUUGAUCAGAAGUGGGAGUCUUGGUGACAUUUAUGGCUGCAGGUUAGCGUUUCAUAUGAUUCCUCAUAUGUUUUUAUUGUUCGUUGAUUUGGAUUGGGUUGGUGAUUUACAUGUGAAGUUGUGGCUGAUGCUGAGAACCGGUAGAAGCGGACAAAGUCUCCUUUCACUGGUUUCAUAUGUUGUUUGCCUGUUUGGCAUAGGGUGUGGCAUGGUGUCCUGUAAAUUGAGCUUCUAUGGAGCUAAAUGGUGAACUCAUGAAGAAUCUGAGACUGUAGAUAACGAGAUGCCGUCCGGCAUCAUUAUUGAGCAUAAUGAAGAAAUUUUGGGAAUCAAUUCAUAAGAAAUGACCUCAGAUGGAGAAAGUCGUGAAGGCGUUUGAAAGAGUCAACACUUCUAAAGGCGGCCGAGCGAUUCCGGAAGAUCAGAGACCUGACUGUUUCUUCUUUGUUGCCGGUAGUGGUCCUUGGAUUUACAUUUUUACUGCUCUCUACCCACCGUUUUUAGAACACUGACUAAAUGUUGUUUUGGUUUGGUGCAGUGCAGUGCAAUUUCAGAUACAUGUGUAGCCAUGAAGGAAUGAGUAGACGACCCUCACACAGAGACAACACUAAAAAGCAUCCUCCCAUGCGUAGACGAGCAAACAACAAACCAAACUCUUGCUCAAAUCAAAGUUGUCAUCAACAUCAUCGUCACCGUAGUGAACACCUUCGUCUACGCCUUGGCGAACACAAACCCAUCUCCAGGCCAAAACUUCUACUACAACCAGUCCAGACCGCCAAUGCCUCCUCUCUGCAGCUCCUUCGACUCAAACAUGGAAGAUCGCGAGUGCAGCACCUGGGAACUGUCAAUAGGAAACGCAUCAUCGGUGUGGGAGAGCUACAUAUGCGAGGUAACAAAAUCCGAUGUCUGCACGACGGUGGGGAGAGUGACGCCUGAGAUAUACAAGCAGCUGGUGGUGGCUGUGAACGAGAGCUACGCGUUGGAGCAUUACACGCCGCCACUGCUUGCUUUCGGGAUUGCAACUUUGUGAGGGAUACGUUUGAGAGUAUUACAUCGGACUACUGUCCGCCCUUGGAGCGUAAUCUGAGGGUUGUGAACGCGGGGCUGGGGAUGAUCUCUGUUAGAGACUUAGAGUGUUGCUUUGUCUGGUGCUGUGGGUAUUCUAUGCGAACCGCCCCCAAAGGGAGGAAGUGUUUGCGGAUCCUCACCGGCCUCAAGUAAAAGAUCUUAGCUCUGGUAACUGGUUUGAUAAUGGUCGCUCAAAUGAUGAAACUAAGCGUUAUGCGGAGGUCGUGUAGUAUACAGAGGUAUAGAUAUGUAGAAUCAUAUGUUGUAUUUUCAUAUAUAAAAAAGAAUAGUAAUAAAAGUCAUUUGUGUAGCGUUCA